AUUGAACGCUGGCGGCAGGCCUAACACAUGCAAGUCGAACGAGUGGCGGACGGGUGAGUAAUGUCUGGGAAACUGCCUGAUGGAGGGGGAUAACUACUGGAAACGGUAGCUAAUACCGCAUACCAUCGGAUGGGACCAGAUGGGAUUAGCUAGUAGGGGGGGUAAAGGCUCACCGAGGCGACGAGCCCUAGCUGGUCUGAGAGGCUGACCAGCCCCACUGAAACUGAGACACGGUCCAGACUCCUACGGGAGGCAGCAGUGGGGAAUAUUGCACAAUGGGCGCAAGCCUGAUGCAGCCCUGCCGCGUGUAUGAAGAAGGCCUUCGGGUUUUAAAGUACUUUCAGCGGUGAGGCGUUACCCGCAGAGGAAGCACCGGCUAACUCCGUGCCAGCAGCCGCGGUAAUUC
Molecule: ribosomal RNA, 406 nt
Filed under: uncultured bacterium
Lineage: Bacteria
Description: partial 16S ribosomal RNA
Rfam family: Bacterial small subunit ribosomal RNA
Source: RNAcentral